ACGGGGAUGGUCCAAUGGGAGGACGCGGGCCUCUGAAGCCCUGAAGUCCAGGUUCGAGUCCUGGUCCCCGUU
Molecule: transfer RNA, 72 nt
Filed under: Myxococcales bacterium
Lineage: Bacteria; Pseudomonadati; Myxococcota; Myxococcia; Myxococcales
Also listed under: 1 other name
Description: tRNA-Gln
Rfam family: tRNA
About the family: Transfer RNA (tRNA) molecules are approximately 80 nucleotides in length.
Source: RNAcentral